GGGUUGUGAGGUUAAGCGACUAAGCGUACACGGUGGAUGCCCUGGCAGUCAGAGGCGAUGAAGGACGUGCUAAUCUGCGAUAAGCGUCGGUAAGGUGAUAUGAACCGUUAUAACCGGCGAUUUCCGAAUGGGGAAACCCAGUGUGAUUCGUCACACUAUCAUUAACUGAAUCCAUAGGUUAAUGAGGCGAACCGGGGGAACUGAAACAUCUAAGUACCCCGAGGAAAAGAAAUCAACCGAGAUUCCCCCAGUAGCGGCGAGCGAACGGGGAGGAGCCCAGAGCCUGAAUCAGUGUGUGUGUUAGUGGAAGCGUCUGGAAAGGCGCGCGAUACAGGGUGACAGCCCCGUACACAAAAAUGCACAUAUUGUGAGCUCGAUGAGUAGGGCGGGACACGUGGUAUCCUGUCUGAAUAUGGGGGGACCAUCCUCCAAGGCUAAAUACUCCUGACUGACCGAUAGUGAACCAGUACCGUGAGGGAAAGGCGAAAAGAACCCCGGCGAGGGGAGUGAAAAAGAACCUGAAACCGUGUACGUACAAGCAGUGGGAGCACGCUUAGGCGUGUGACUGCGUACCUUUUGUAUAAUGGGUCAGCGACUUAUAUUCUGUAGCAAGGUUAACCGAAUAGGGGAGCCGAAGGGAAACCGAGUCUUAACUGGGCGUUAAGUUGCAGGGUAUAGACCCGAAACCCGGUGAUCUAGCCAUGGGCAGGUUGAAGGUUGGGUAACACUAACUGGAGGACCGAACCGACUAAUGUUGAAAAAUUAGCGGAUGACUUGUGGCUGGGGGUGAAAGGCCAAUCAAACCGGGAGAUAGCUGGUUCUCCCCGAAAGCUAUUUAGGUAGCGCCUCGUGAAUUCAUCUCCGGGGGUAGAGCACUGUUUCGGCAAGGGGGUCAUCCCGACUUACCAACCCGAUGCAAACUGCGAAUACCGGAGAAUGUUAUCACGGGAGACACACGGCGGGUGCUAACGUCCGUCGUGAAGAGGGAAACAACCCAGACCGCCAGCUAAGGUCCCAAAGUCAUGGUUAAGUGGGAAACGAUGUGGGAAGGCCCAGACAGCCAGGAUGUUGGCUUAGAAGCAGCCAUCAUUUAAAGAAAGCGUAAUAGCUCACUGGUCGAGUCGGCCUGCGCGGAAGAUGUAACGGGGCUAAACCAUGCACCGAAGCUGCGGCAGCGACGCUGAUGCGUUGUUGGGUAGGGGAGCGUUCUGUAAGCCUGCGAAGGUGUGCUGUGAGGCAUGCUGGAGGUAUCAGAAGUGCGAAUGCUGACAUAAGUAACGAUAAAGCGGGUGAAAAGCCCGCUCGCCGGAAGACCAAGGGUUCCUGUCCAACGUUAAUCGGGGCAGGGUGAGUCGACCCCUAAGGCGAGGCCGAAAGGCGUAGUCGAUGGGAAACAGGUUAAUAUUCCUGUACUUGGUGUUACUGCGAAGGGGGGACGGAGAAGGCUAUGUUGGCCGGGCGACGGUUGUCCCGGUUUAAGCGUGUAGGCUGGUUUUCCAGGCAAAUCCGGAAAAUCAAGGCUGAGGCGUGAUGACGAGGCACUACGGUGCUGAAGCAACAAAUGCCCUGCUUCCAGGAAAAGCCUCUAAGCAUCAGGUAACAUCAAAUCGUACCCCAAACCGACACAGGUGGUCAGGUAGAGAAUACCAAGGCGCUUGAGAGAACUCGGGUGAAGGAACUAGGCAAAAUGGUGCCGUAACUUCGGGAGAAGGCACGCUGAUAUGUAGGUGAAGUCCCUCGCGGAUGGAGCUGAAAUCAGUCGAAGAUACCAGCUGGCUGCAACUGUUUAUUAAAAACACAGCACUGUGCAAACACGAAAGUGGACGUAUACGGUGUGACGCCUGCCCGGUGCCGGAAGGUUAAUUGAUGGGGUCAGCGCAAGCGAAGCUCUUGAUCGAAGCCCCGGUAAACGGCGGCCGUAACUAUAACGGUCCUAAGGUAGCGAAAUUCCUUGUCGGGUAAGUUCCGACCUGCACGAAUGGCGUAAUGAUGGCCAGGCUGUCUCCACCCGAGACUCAGUGAAAUUGAACUCGCUGUGAAGAUGCAGUGUACCCGCGGCAAGACGGAAAGACCCCGUGAACCUUUACUAUAGCUUGACACUGAACAUUGAGCCUUGAUGUGUAGGAUAGGUGGGAGGCUUUGAAGUGUGGACGCCAGUCUGCAUGGAGCCGACCUUGAAAUACCACCCUUUAAUGUUUGAUGUUCUAACGUUGACCCGUAAUCCGGGUUGCGGACAGUGUCUGGUGGGUAGUUUGACUGGGGCGGUCUCCUCCUAAAGAGUAACGGAGGAGCACGAAGGUUGGCUAAUCCUGGUCGGACAUCAGGAGGUUAGUGCAAUGGCAUAAGCCAGCUUGACUGCGAGCGUGACGGCGCGAGCAGGUGCGAAAGCAGGUCAUAGUGAUCCGGUGGUUCUGAAUGGAAGGGCCAUCGCUCAACGGAUAAAAGGUACUCCGGGGAUAACAGGCUGAUACCGCCCAAGAGUUCAUAUCGACGGCGGUGUUUGGCACCUCGAUGUCGGCUCAUCACAUCCUGGGGCUGAAGUAGGUCCCAAGGGUAUGGCUGUUCGCCAUUUAAAGUGGUACGCGAGCUGGGUUUAGAACGUCGUGAGACAGUUCGGUCCCUAUCUGCCGUGGGCGCUGGAGAACUGAGGGGGGCUGCUCCUAGUACGAGAGGACCGGAGUGGACGCAUCACUGGUGUUCGGGUUGUCAUGCCAAUGGCACUGCCCGGUAGCUAAAUGCGGAAGAGAUAAGUGCUGAAAGCAUCUAAGCACGAAACUUGCCCCGAGAUGAGUUCUCCCUGACCCUUUAAGGGUCCUGAAGGAACGUUGAAGACGACGACGUUGAUAGGCCGGGUGUGUAAGCGCAGCGAUGCGUUGAGCUAACCGGUACUAAUGAACCGUGAGGCUUAACCUUACAACGCCGAAG
Molecule: ribosomal RNA, 2925 nt
Filed under: Escherichia coli
Lineage: Bacteria; Pseudomonadati; Pseudomonadota; Gammaproteobacteria; Enterobacterales; Enterobacteriaceae
Description: 23S ribosomal RNA
Rfam family: Bacterial large subunit ribosomal RNA
Source: RNAcentral